This 750-nucleotide ribosomal RNA is filed under the name uncultured archaeon. RNAcentral's name for it is "bacterial SSU rRNA". It matches the Rfam family "Archaeal small subunit ribosomal RNA", at positions 107 to 858 of the family's 1478-position model. The record is from RNAcentral.
ACCUACCCUAUGGACGGGGAUAACCUCGGGAAACUGAGAAUAAUACCCGAUAGAACAUUAUUCCUGGAAUGGUUUAUGUUUCAAAUAAUUUAUUGCCGUAGGAUGGGACUGCGGCCUAUCAGUUUGUUGGUGAGGUAAUGGCCCACCAAGACUAUUACAGGUACGGGCUCUGAGAGGAGUAGCCCGGAGAUGGGUACUGAGACACGGACCCAGGCCCUAUGGGGCGCAGCAGGCGAGAAAACUUUGCAAUGUGCGAAAGCACGACAAGGUUAAUCCGAGUGGUUUCUGCUAAAGGAACCUUUUGUCAGUCCUAGAAACACUGAUGAAUAAGGGGUGGGCAAGUUCUGGUGUCAGCCGCCGCGGUAAAACCAGCACCUCAAGUGGUCAGGAUGAUUAUUGGGCCUAAAGCAUCCGUAGCCUGCUUUGUUAGUUUUCGGUUAAAUCCAUACGCUCAACGUAUGGGCUGCCGGGAAUACUGCAAAGCUAGGGAGUGGGAGAGGUAGACGGUACUCGGUAGGAAGGGGUAAAAUCCUUUGAUCUAUUGAUGACCACCUGUGGCGAAGGCGGUCUACCAGAACACGUCCGACGGUGAGGGAUGAAAGCUGGGGGAGCAAACCGGAUUAGAUACCCGGGUAGUCCCAGCUGUAAACAAUGCAAACUCGGUGAUGCAUUGGCUUGAUGCCAAUGCAGUGCCGCAGGGAAGCCGUUAAGUUUGCCGCCUGGGAAGUACGUACGCAAGUAUGAAACUUA